UUGAACGCUGGCGGCAUGCUUUACACAUGCAAGUCGAACGGCAGCGGGGGCUUCGGCCUGCCGGCGAGUGGCGAACGGGUGAGUAAUAUAUCGGAACAUAUCCUGUCGUGGGGGAUAACUAAUCGAAAGAUUAGCUAAUACCGCAUACGACCUGAGGGAGAAAGCGGGGGCUCGCAAGACCUCGCGCGAUUGGAGUGGCCGAUAUCUGAUUAGCUAGAUGGUGAGGUAAAGGCUCACCAUGGCGACGAUCAGUAGCUGGUCUGAGAGGAUGAUCAGCCACACUGGGACUGAGACACGGUCCAGACUCCUACGGGAGGCAGCAGUGGGGAAUUUUGGACAAUGGGGGAAACCCUGAUCCAGCCAUUCCGCGUGAGUGAAGAAGGCCUUCGGGUUGUAAAGCUCUUUCGGCAGGAACGAAACGGUAAGGGCUAAUAUCCUUUGCUAAUGACGGUACCUGAAGAAGAAGCACCGGCUAACUACGU
RNAcentral lists this ribosomal RNA (482 nucleotides) under uncultured bacterium. RNAcentral's name for it is "bacterial SSU rRNA". It matches the Rfam family "Bacterial small subunit ribosomal RNA", at positions 30 to 506 of the family's 1533-position model. The record is from RNAcentral.